GGGGAAGCCGGUGGGAGUCCGGCGCUGACCUGCAACCGUGUGCGGCCGGUGGGCCGCGAGUCGGGACACCC
RNAcentral lists this non-coding RNA (71 nucleotides) under Streptomyces sp. Lineage: Bacteria; Bacillati; Actinomycetota; Actinomycetes; Kitasatosporales; Streptomycetaceae. The record is from RNAcentral.